Meleagris gallopavo (turkey) is the source of this 2986-nucleotide non-coding RNA. NCBI's taxonomy places the organism in Eukaryota, Metazoa, Chordata, Aves, Galliformes, Phasianidae. The record is from RefSeq and is a predicted model, not a curated record.
AGCACUGCGAGGCAAUGCUGAUAUUCUCCAUGGUGGAGAGGGGUUCAGUCAUGCUGAAAAUAGAUCCCUCCUGAGAUGGAGAUCAGGCAGCUGCCUCACUGUCUACUACCUUUUCAGAUGUGGGUUUUCUUCUCCUAAGUUGUGAGUGACAAAGAAUGAGAGGAUGAUUUUUAGCAGGGUGGCAGAAUGAGAACAAAGUGAAAAAGUGGAAGAACCUACAGGCUGCUGUAUGUUGGUUAGUGGGAAACUCCCUCACAUGUGUGUUCAGUGUGGUUGAGGUCAUGAGCUGGAAACGCGCCAGCGUACUUGUAUGACAGGAGGUUUUGCAGCAUGGAAAGGAAUCUUUUACUGGUGAUCCUCAGCCUUUUCCCCUGAGAACUACUCUCCAGCCCUCUGCUCCUCUGACUAGAACAGAGUGCUGUGCCAGAAGAAGGGAGGGAAAACAUGGUUACAAACGUCUGACAUCUUAGGGGCUGUAGACAGCCAUCACUGUCCUGUGUUCAUCUGGACAAAGAAAUUCUCCAUAUUUUUUCUAAGUCAAAAUGCAUAUUAAAUACUUGUGCUAACAAAUUCCACUAUGGCAAAUGUACUGCCUGUUUCCACUUAUAAGCAGUGCGUUGGUACAAGCUUCAACUGUUCAAAGGUUUUUUUAGCCUUACUAACUUUAACCUUAUUGAGUCUGUCUCACUUGUUUCUUCUUUCCCAUCAACUUUUCAAAAACAAGGGCUUCCUGUGGAUUCUCUUUUUCCUUGUAGAAUGGAAUUUGGUUGAAAGGAAUUCAAGGAGUCAACUCAAACAAUGACACAAAACUCAACUUUGUCAAAUUUGUGAAUGACACUAAAUUAUAGGCAGAUGACAAAUGACAGAGCUUCAUUCCAGAUACAUUAAGAGACAUGAAGACUGGAUCAACACAAAUCUAAUGAAGAUCAGCGUGGACAAGUGGAAAGCUCACACCUGGGAGAAAAAUAGCCCGAGGUGCCAGUAUGAGCUGGGAACUGACCGGUUCAGCAGGAGCCCUGCUAAAAAGGAUGAGUUAUGAUGGCUGCCCAGAAGGAUAAUGAGUGCUCUCACUGCGAACAAGGCAAAGAUACUGGAUGAUGCUCUGAGCAUGUUCAGUUGACUGUCAGAAGCUAUAACUCCUUUUGUUUGGAAUCUUGACAUGACUGCAGGCUUCGCUAGAGGCAACAGAACUUGCAUAACCAAGGAUUAGAACCAAGUUCCUUCUGGAGGGUGGCUGCCUUCUGCACUGUGACAGGCUGACCAUGCAUAGUCCUAAAGCUCCAAAUUGGAUGAGAGCAUUGCAUUUUAUGAGAUACCCAUGACUCCAGCAUGGUUCUGUCCAAGGCAGCAGAUCCAAAUUCUCACUGUGAAUUUCAAACAACGUGGGAGUAUAAAACAAGAGACUGGAUUUCUGUAGGUUUUGGCCUAUGUACAGCUCAGAGGCACUGAAUGGGCAGAGAAGCUGACAUUUGGUUGCAGCCACACAAAGUGUUUUUUUGGCUUGUGAUUGCAUGGCCAGCCUGACAGAGAUGAUGUGUCUUCUAGGGACAGAUGUUUCUCUCUGAAUGUCUUGUCACAAAGUACUUGAGAAGGUUUGAGUUUAUGCCAAAGGAGAAGUGAACACUGAGCCCAAAGGAAGAGAGAAAGUUGCUUAACAUCUCAAACAGGACCAUGGCCUGAGAAAAUGUAUCCCAAAUCUGCCGCCUAGAAUCAGAGAAUCACAGAAUGGCCUGGGUUGAAAAGGACCUCAAGGAUCAUCUAAUUUCAACUCCCUUGCCAUUGGCAGGGUCACCAACCACUAGACCAGGCUGCCCAGAGCAUCUCAAGUUUAUUAAUUUUUUCAGCAACAAGAGCUGCAUUACAGUGCAUUUCGUGACUCAUAUCACAUGUCAAGCUCUGGGGCCCCAAUUCAGUGUUUGAUGUCAGCAUGGCCUGCUCUUACUCCACCUGGCUGAGAGAGAAUGUGGCUCUCAGCAGUGUUGCCAGCCCUGAAGAAAGCUUGGAGCAAGUGCUGCUGCCUUCCUCAUGAUGGGAAGGGAUUCAUGGAUUUGGGUUCUCAUUCUGAGCAGCAAGAAGUGAGCUUUCACAUUCACCGACUUUGUUUCUCAUUGUUGAUGUCAAGAGAAGUGAUGCCCUCACCUAUCCCAAGCUGAUUCCCAGCUGAACACCAACAGUAGCUGUGCAGCAGCCAUGCUCCUGGUGGCACAGCACAUCCCAGCAGAGCAGGGCAAGCGCCCAGGUGCGGCGUUCACACGCUGCCAUCCCACUGGCUUCAGAGGGGCCACUCCAGCCUGCUUCUGACUGUUAACAUUUCAGCUGAGAAAGGAGCUGUGCCGGACGGAGCAAGACUUUCUGGGAUAAGAAUAGCAUCUGCCAUCUUAGGACACGGCACAGUUGUCCAGCUCCUGCACGGCAACACGUUGCAGUGAGAUAUAGAAGGCAAGCUACCCGCUGAGGAAUGUCUUCGAGUGCUAUUCAUGGAGGCGUAUCAUCUACAGCAGCAGGCCUGGCCCCACGCAGGAGCCUUGCAAGGGGGUUAUUUUGAGCUUUGGACACUGAGGAUUGAAGGGAGACAAAUGACAGUGAUCCUCCUGGCACAGGCAACCUCCAGAGCUCUGUGCACAAGCCCCGCAGCCUGUCACCGCUUCUGGGGAUGACGCUUGUGAAGCUGAUGGGCGAUGCGGUGGGACCUGAGAGCCCAGGAGAUGGGAGCCAGGAGGGAGCUGAGAGUUCGCUGGGGACACAAGGGCAGGCCUCAGGCCCACCUGUCCCAGACUCAGGCACUCCUCUGCCUGCUUUGUUUUUGACCACGUGCCUGAGAGCAUCGGCAGGUAACUCUGUGCAGGUGAACACUGUGAUCAGAGGAGACACAGUUAGACUUACGACUUGAUAGCUGCUUCAUCUUCAGAGAGUUAGCUUCUCUUUCAUUUUGUGCUUUUGGUGCUCUCUCUUUUUUAUGUCUUAAUAAAUAAUACUUAAAAAAAAA